AAGGCUUCAAGUAGAAGAUGAACUGAGCUAAGAUGUGAAGAAAACAGGAUUCUAAGACAUAAAGAAACCGAAGAUUUAUUUCUGGAUUCAGGAAUCCUAACCAGGCCUAAACUUUUAGGCUGAUACCCAUAUCUUCUGUCAAGUUUGACAAAGAAAGAUGCUCUCAACUGCUGACAGCUCUAAUAGCUAACAUGAAAACAUUCAGAACUCUUCGAAUCAAACCAUCCGCAUAUGAGGGGGUAAGAAAGUUCAACACAACACAUCUGCAAACAUAAUAUACCCAAGGAGCUUGGCAUCAGUGGACAAUUGCAGAACAUCAAGCUAUCUGUCACCCAGAACACCACGAAUUAUGAACUGUUCUUAAAGGUUCCUACCCUCCAAGAAUGUCCAGCAAUCUCCUUCCCCUCCAGCUGGUCUACAGGAAAAGUUAACAGCAGAACUCUCUAGCCUCAUCAGCUUCUUCAGUUCCCUGAAGUAGUCAACACCACAGUCAGGGGGCAGUCAUUGGCCCUUGUAAAUGAAGGGGAAUGUUAUUUUGGCAGUAUGCUGACAUAUCUUCUCAGCACCUCAACACUUCCAUAAGCCAACUAGAACCUUGCAUGCAGGCCAAAAUAGACAGACUAUAUCUGAUUUUAAAGAUGAAAAAUGCACACUGGCUUUUGACCUUUAAGUACUGGUGUCUCUGCUUAGCAAAUUAGAGGUGUCCUAUACAAAGCAAACAACAGCACCGAAGAAAAGUACAGGACCAACUGUAGUAUGGGGGCAAUUUUGCAUCUUCUUCAAUCUUUCUGAAAUGUGAUUUAGCUUGACCUUUAAAUCUAGUGGAUCAACCAAUCAAUUUUCCUGAAAUAACUUUGCACGUGACAUUAGAGCAUGCCCUGUAUAAGAAGGAACCAGGCAUAGCAGCAUGGCCUAACCACUUCAUUGUGCUAGAAAAGUUACUAAGAUUUAUCUCAAUUGAUUUUACUGGCAAGAAAAACACAAUGUGAAAACUGCAACAUCAGCAGACACUAAAGGUCUUAGUUCCUUGCAGGAUGAACUUGAUAUCAAUAGUUAUUAGGACACAUUCAUACAAGGCACACAAGAGAGAUGGAGAGAAGAUGCAAGUAAUCUUACUUAAUCCUGAAGCGGCCAAAAGCCAGGCUCUUCAGACUGUGGGAAAAAUCAAGGAAAACUUUCAAUAUUCCUGGGCUAUUGCUAGGCAAGAAUCUGGGGGAGGAAAUGUUCGUAUUUACAACUAGGAUAAAAACAAUAGCACAGCACAAAGAACCUAGACUGAAAAUUGAGAAAACGGGGUUCUAUCCCUGGCUAUGCCAUUAACUCAUUAUAUGACCUUAAGCAUGACACUAUCCCUCUUCUUGGCUCAGUUUUCUGAUCUGUAAAAUGAAGACAUGAGGCUAAAUGGUUGCCCAGGCGUCUUCCAGUGUGAUUGUGACAGAUCUGUAGUGAUUCCAAAGCCAAAGCUUCAAUUCCUCCUCUUCUCAACACAACAAGCAAAUAAAUCAAUGUGAGGAUCCUACAGAGAUGCUGGGGUAUUUGGUUGGCCAGAGAGGGAAAUAAAAGCAAGAAUUAGGAAGGCCUGAGAAAGAAACAAAACUGUUUUUCCCUCUGCAGCUGCAAAGCUAAACCAUAAUUCCAAACACACACCAACUGUUGACAUAAAUGAGGAUCCCUAAGGCCCACAGACACCACCCAACAUAACAUAAUAUCCCAAUGAAAGCAGACACUUUGCCAAAAAAGGAUGGCUAAAAUCCAGAGAGAAAGAAAACAGUCAAGUUUCUUCAAAAGAGUUCAAAACUGGGAGUUUAAGAAAAAACACAUUUUUGUUUUUAGUUUUUUUAAUGAAAUUAAAACAAGUUAUUCUGCCUUUAAAAAUAAAAAAGACUCAGAAUCACAGAAUCUAAAAGUUGGAAAGGACUUCAGGACAUACCCAACAAGUUGUUUUUUGCACCAGUGAGGGGAGGGGCCCCAUUACCUCUUUGGGCCAUUCCACCUUUGGAUAUCUCUAAUUAUUAGGAAUUUUUUCCAGACAUCAAGCCUAACCUGGCCUCUUUGCAACUUCUACCCAUUGUUUGCUCCCAGUGCUGUCUUAUGGACUAAGCAAAACAAAUCUAAUCCCUUUUCUCACAGGACAACCUUUCAAGUACUUCAAGGCAGUUAAGCAUUCCCAACCCAGACCUUCUCCCCAAGUCUUCUCUUCCCUAGGCAAAAUAGCCUCAGUUCCUUCAACAAUUCUCUCUUGUGGCAUGAUCUUGAGGAUCUAUGACAACCUUUGACCUCCAGUUUAUCAAUGUCCUUUCUAAAAGGAGAUGCCCAUAACUGAACACACUAUUACCAAUGUGACUUGAAGAAGGCAGAGCACAAUGGCACUAACACCUCACCAAUGUUGUACACAAUACCCCAUUUAAUUGCAACCUAAGAUCACAUUAGCUUCUUUGCCUGCCAUGUUUCACCCAUAUUAUACCUGCAGUCCAAUAAAAUCAUUUGAAAAAGG
Non-coding RNA from Phascolarctos cinereus (koala), 2494 nucleotides. The record is from RefSeq and is a predicted model, not a curated record. Lineage: Eukaryota; Metazoa; Chordata; Mammalia; Diprotodontia; Phascolarctidae.